UACGUAGGGGCGAGCGUUGUCCGGAAUGAUUGGGCGUAAAGGGCGCGUAGGCGGCUGAUUAAGUCUGGAGUGGAAGUCCUAUUUUCAAGGUAGGAAUUGCUUUGGAAACUGAUCAGCUUGAGUGCAGGAGAGGUUAUCGGAAUUCCCGGUGUAGCGGUGAAAUGCGUAGAGAUCGGGAGGAACACCGGUGGCGAAGGCGGGUAACUGGACUGCAACUGACGCUGAGGCGCGAAAGUGUGGGGAGCAAACAGGAUUAGAUACCCCUGUAGUCCCU
Molecule: ribosomal RNA, 274 nt
Filed under: uncultured prokaryote
Description: partial 16S ribosomal RNA
Rfam family: Bacterial small subunit ribosomal RNA
Source: RNAcentral